RNAcentral lists this ribosomal RNA (468 nucleotides) under uncultured bacterium. RNAcentral's name for it is "partial 16S ribosomal RNA". It matches the Rfam family "Bacterial small subunit ribosomal RNA", at positions 28 to 507 of the family's 1533-position model. The record is from RNAcentral.
GACGAACGCUGGCGGCGUGCUUAACACAUGCAAGUCGGACGGAAAGGCCCUGCUUUUGUGGGGUGCUCGAGUGGCGAACGGGUGGGUAACACGUGAGUAACCUGCCCUUGACUUUGGGAUAACUUCAGGAAACUGGGGCUAAUACCGGAUAGGAGCUCCUGCUGCAUGGUGGGGGUUGGAAAGUUUCGGCGGUUGGGGAUGGACUCGCGGCUUAUCAGCUUGUUGGUGGGGUAGUGGCUUACCAAGGCUUUGACGGGUAGCCGGCCUGAGAGGGUGACCGGCCACAUUGGGACUGAGAUACGGCCCAGACUCCUACGGGAGGCAGCAGUGGGGAAUAUUGCACAAUGGGCGGAAGCCUGAUGCAGCAACGCCGCGUGCGGGAUGACGGCCUUCGGGUUGUAAACCGCUUUCGCCUGUGACGAAGCGUGAGUGACGGUAAUGGGUAAAGAAGCACCGGCUAACUACGUG